Callithrix jacchus (white-tufted-ear marmoset) is the source of this 154-nucleotide unclassified non-coding RNA. It matches the Rfam family "Metazoan signal recognition particle RNA". From Rfam's summary of the family: The signal recognition particle (SRP) is a universally conserved ribonucleoprotein. It is involved in the co-translational targeting of proteins to membranes. Lineage: Eukaryota; Metazoa; Chordata; Mammalia; Primates; Cebidae. The record is from Ensembl.
GCCGGGCGUGGUGGCGCACGUCUGUAAUCCCAGAUACUCGGGAGGCUGAGGCAGGAGAAUCACUUGAACCUGGGAGGCUGAGGUUGCAGUGAACCGAGAUCGUGCCAUUGCCACUGCACUCCAGCCCGGGCGACAGAGUGAGAGACUGUCUCUC